GGGCCGUUGUUGAUUGGGGGGCCUUUUUGGUUCCGCCACRAUAUUAAAGUGCGAAAACUGCUUGGNUUAUUGUCUGGCRAAUCCGCAGCCGGCCCCCCGGGGUUGGUCCAACGACUAAAUAAUAACGGCUGACUUGGGUCAVCUAANAUAUAGUCUUAACCCCUGGAGUGAUUCAGCGGGAUCGUUGCAUUAAAUCAGUUAUCGUUUAUUUGAUAGUACCUCACUACAUGGAUAACCGUGGUAAUUCUAGAGCUAAUAMAUGCUAAAAACCUCAMCUUCRGAAGGGGUGUAUUUAUUAGAUAAAAAACCAAKGCCCUUCGGGGCUCCUUGGUGAUUCAUAAUAACUCAACGAAUCGKAUGGCCUUGCNCCGGCGAUGGUUCAUUCAAAUUUCUGCCCUAUCAACUUUCGAUUGUAAGGWAGUGGCCUACAAUGGUGGCAACGGGUAACGGGGAAUUAGGUUAGUCUUUCAUUCUGUCAGCAAA
This 483-nucleotide ribosomal RNA is filed under the name Lambiella caeca. RNAcentral's name for it is "partial 18S small subunit ribosomal RNA". The stretch from base 189 to 475 matches the Rfam family "Eukaryotic small subunit ribosomal RNA", at positions 100 to 387 of the family's 1831-position model. Lineage: Eukaryota; Fungi; Ascomycota; Lecanoromycetes; Baeomycetales; Xylographaceae. The record is from RNAcentral.